GCUGGGCGUAAUGGCACGUGCCUGUAGUGCCUGUAGCUACUUGGGAGACUGAGGCAGGAGGAAGGCUUAAGUCCAGGAGUUCUGCACUGUGUGUUAUGCCAGGCAGGUGUCCUCACUAAAUUUGGCAUCAGUAUGGUGAUCUCCUGGGAGUGGAGAACAACGAGAUUGCCUAAGGAGAGGUGAACUGGCCCAGGUCAGAAAUGGAGCAGGUCAAAAUUCCUGUGCUGUUCAGUAGUAGGAUUGCACCUGUGAAUAGCCACUGUAGUGCACCAGCCUGGGCAGCACAGCAAGAUUCCAUCUCUU
This is an unclassified non-coding RNA of Callithrix jacchus (white-tufted-ear marmoset), 303 nucleotides long. It matches the Rfam family "Metazoan signal recognition particle RNA". Rfam says of the family: The signal recognition particle (SRP) is a universally conserved ribonucleoprotein. Lineage: Eukaryota; Metazoa; Chordata; Mammalia; Primates; Cebidae. The record is from Ensembl.